Molecule: ribosomal RNA, 194 nt
Filed under: uncultured eukaryote
Lineage: Eukaryota
Description: partial 18S ribosomal RNA
Rfam family: Eukaryotic small subunit ribosomal RNA
Source: RNAcentral
CAAACCUGGUUGAUCCUGCCAGUUAGUCAUAUGCUUGUCUCAAAGAUUAAGCCAUGCAUGUCUAAGUAUAAACUGCUUUAUACUGUGAAACUGCGAAUGGCUCAUUAAAUCAGUUAUAGUUUAUUUGAUGGUACUUACUACUCGGAUAACCGUAGUAAUUCUAGAGCUAAUACGUGCGUAAAUCCCGACUUCUG